GAUUUUUACACUACCAAUUUUCCUUCUUCGGUAUUUUUUUCUAUUUUUCUUAUUCAAGUUCAUAUACUUACUACUUAUCAAUAAAUAAGAGGGAAUAGCAAACAUCAAUAUGUGUGCUUUUUUGGAAUCAAAGGUUAGUUUGAGGAUAUACUUUUUUCAUUUCAAAUAUGUUAAGUCCAUCCUUGGCUCUCACUAUAAAACUUAACACGUGGAGCUCUAAUUUUAACAUGUGUCAGUCACCGCUGGGUUUUCAGUUCAAUCUAACACUCUGCGCCUCUAACGCCAUCCAGAGUCCAGACCAUCUGCUCACCAUCUCCUGUUGUUUGCAACUGGGUGUAUUUUCUUCAGUGGAUUGUAUUUUGUGCUGGGUUGUACUGAUAGAAUGGAAUAAAACUUACGAUAAACGAAAUUACACCAUCGACUAAAGAAUAGACUUGUAAAGUUCAGCCCAUGGACGAAUUCCGGCCAAGAGAAAGCAGGGAUCAGCGAGUUCAUUUUCAGACAAUAAUUGUUCCAGAUGAAAACGUAAGUGAUGCUACAAUUAUAAAUGGAAUAAAUAGUUGUGAAUAUUGUGUGCCUGUGUUUGUCAAGGCAAUUGGUACUACUUUUGGAUAUUGUAGCGGCCUGCUGAUGUUGUACAUUAACAUCUUAUAACUAUAAUGCAUGUACAUUUGUGAAAGUUUACAAUAUUUAUCGCAUGGCUUUUCCCUUUAUACUGCCGAUGUCUACUCUUACUAUAUUGUUGCAAUAUAAGUCUUUUUGCUUGGCUGAAGUGUUUAUUAUUGAACAUCAGUAAAUAUGUUAAAAAUUAUAUUACGGUUAAAUACUUGGUACAUACUACGUUAUUGAGCCAGGGCUAUGCACGGGCUACUACCCGGUAGACUAUAUUAGAAAUGCAGGUUAACAGGUGAAGCAGUCAGCUCUUUGUCGACGUCUCUCCUUGCUGCUGUAGGACAUUGGUCAUUAAUAAGAAUUUUGCAGCAAUUGGAAACUACUCAUACUAAUAAUCGCGGCUUCAACUUUACGUUUAUCCUUUAGUUUUGCAUUUUUUAGUCACUUUCUCUUGAAUGUAGCUACCUUCUUCCUACUGCUUUUAACCUUAGAUCCAUUUGUUAUCUAAUAUUCUCAAUUCUUGCUUAGUUUGAAUUGUUUCCUCCAGCAUCCAGGUAAAUUAUUUCAAUUUAACAGUUUACACUUGA
Molecule: long non-coding RNA, 1199 nt
Organism: Nicotiana attenuata
Lineage: Eukaryota; Viridiplantae; Streptophyta; Magnoliopsida; Solanales; Solanaceae
Exons: 2
Source: RefSeq, a predicted model, not a curated record